UACGUAGGCAGCGAGCGUUGUUCGGAGUUACUGGGCGUAAAGGGUGUGUAGGCGGCUCUUUAAGUUUGGUGUGAAAUCUCCCGGCUCAACUGGGAGGGUGCGCCGAAUACUGAGGGACUAGAGUGCGGGAGAGGAAAGUGGAAUUCCUGGUGUAGCGGUGAAAUGCGUAGAUAUCAGGAGGAACACCGGUGGUGUAGACGGCUUUCUGGACCGUAACUGACGCUGAGACACGAAAGCGUGGGUAGCAAACAGG
This 253-nucleotide ribosomal RNA is filed under the name uncultured bacterium. RNAcentral describes it as "partial 16S ribosomal RNA". It matches the Rfam family "Bacterial small subunit ribosomal RNA", at positions 524 to 776 of the family's 1533-position model. The record is from RNAcentral.